GUGGGGAAUAUUGGACAAUGGGCGAAAGCCUGAUCCAGCCAUGCCGCGUGUGUGAAGAAGGUCUUCGGAUUGUAAAGCACUUUAAGUUGGGAGGAAGGGCAGUAAGUUAAUACCUUGCUGUUUUGACGUUACCGACAGAAUAAGCACCGGCUAACUUCGUGCCAGCAGCCGCGGUAAUACGAAGGGUGCAAGCGUUAAUCGGAAUUACUGGGCGUAAAGCGCGCGUAGGUGGUUAUGGAAGUUGGAGGUGAAAUCCCCGGGCUCAACCUGGGAACUGCCGCCAAAAAUGCAUGACAAAAGUACAGUAGAUAGUAGUGGAAUUUCCUGUGUAGCGGUGAAAUGCAUAGAUAUAGGAAGGAACACCAGUUGCGAAGGCGACUACCUGGACUGAUACUGACACUGAGGUGCGAAAGCGUGGGGAGCAAACAGGAUUAGAAACCCGUGUAGUCC
This 450-nucleotide ribosomal RNA is filed under the name uncultured bacterium. RNAcentral's name for it is "partial 16S ribosomal RNA". It matches the Rfam family "Bacterial small subunit ribosomal RNA", at positions 354 to 796 of the family's 1533-position model. The record is from RNAcentral.